This 179-nucleotide non-coding RNA is filed under the name Vitreoscilla sp. Its description in RNAcentral is "6S RNA". It matches the Rfam family "6S / SsrS RNA". Rfam says of the family: E. coli 6S RNA was the first non coding RNA to be sequenced, but its function was unknown until recently. It consists of 184 nucleotides that fold into an extended hairpin structure with a large single-stranded internal bulge. The record is from RNAcentral. Lineage: Bacteria; Pseudomonadati; Pseudomonadota; Betaproteobacteria; Neisseriales; Neisseriaceae.
UUUCCCCUGCAGUGUUCGAAAGGGCUUAUAUUCCUUUGAACCAAUAAGUUCGCUUUAUAGUUGCACGGUGGUAUGUGGGCGCGAGCGUUCCUUGCGAACGCACCCGAAACAUAUCCAUGUGACUAGCCUUGUCCCCAAGGUUCAAGCGAAUUAUGCCUACCGGCACCAGCGGGGGAUUC